Long non-coding RNA from Grus americana (Whooping crane), 2611 nucleotides. RefSeq lists it as uncharacterized. The record is from RefSeq and is a predicted model, not a curated record. The transcript has 4 exons. Lineage: Eukaryota; Metazoa; Chordata; Aves; Gruiformes; Gruidae.
GCGGCUGAGGCGCGGUGGCAGUUCCUGGUGAGAGGCAGGUUCCGUCCUGCGUAGCGGGAUUUGAACGUUUAAAUGUACCCCACCGCCCCGCUCCCCUCAGCGCGGUUUCACCCCUCUGGGGGUCGGGGUGCCUCGGCGGUGGCUGUCUCGCUGGCCUCUCCCCGCCGAGGUGCGGCGUCAGGGGGAGCGUUGGCCUCCUGCACCGCAGCACCGGCCCAGGCCCUCAGCCCCGGCCGGGCCUGUGGUGGCCUCCCGGGGAAGAGUCAAGCCCUCAGAAAAAAGGGAUACCCUGGCCGGGACCGGUUCAGGUGUGCUCCACAACACAGAAGUUGCUCCUGUAGCCAGCUUCCAAACAGGUUGCUUGUAGCAUGAGGUUUUCUGUUUGCUGGGAUCGUUUCUCUUGUGCCUUACUAGAUGUCUUGCUAAUUUAACUACCUUAGUUAAGCGUGUGGAAAAAACUGUGUUCCUUUCUAUCAUUGCUGCAGCACAACCAGUCUUCAAGAGAGAUGUUACGCUGGCAAAACCCAUCCUUUCAAUCCAUGCUGUGUGCUUCCUCUGGGGAACAAGAACAGAGCUUCCCCAGGUGGGGUGGUUUGUUAGUGGAAACUCGGUCUUUCCAGUGCAGAUUUAUUACUUGGUGAUUACAUCUGUGUAGGAAGAUGAGCAAGGCCACCUCAGUAUAGAAUGAGCUAUGAAAAUGGAUUUUUUUUUUUUCCAUGUUUUAACAUAGGUGUUGACUAGACCAAAACUCUUCAUCAUGUACGAAUUGAUGUUUAGACUCAGGAAGACUGGCUCUGGGAUUCCUAAUUUGACUAUCCAAGGCCAUGGUGAGAAAAAGGUUGGAAGAGAGCAGAAAAAGGAAAUAAUUCUCAAAGAGCAGGCUUUCAGAAGGAACCCAGUGCCCACAGAAGGACACUCAGACUUUUUGCCUUGUUUUGUGGAUUGAAUCUCUUGACAAUGCUGUGGAGAGAUGAAGAACAGCCAAGGUACUGCCAGGCAAAUCUGCUGCACAGCUGAGAUAUGGCUUAAUUGUACGUGGUAUUUUACCCUCUGAAGAGAAUUCAAUAUUUGUGUACUGCUAUGGAAGUGUAAGAGAAGCAGGAAGAAGCCCAAGACUGACAUACCACUUCAUGCUUAUGCAAAAUUAACUAUCUGUCUGCUGUCUCAUCUCCCCACUCCCAGGAACUACUGUAAAACUGUGAUGUUUGGGUCGUGUUGGUGCUCUGAACAACUGUGGUUAACUGGGACACAAUUUUGGCUGUCUCAUGUAGUGGCCAAGAAUACAGUUUCAGAGUUCAGAGGUGUUUACCUUUGCAGGAGACUACAGCUACCUGCCUGGAGGGGUCAGCCAGACUGGAAGGGAGUGCCAGGAAGUUAUUUUCCACAACAGGCAUCUCAGCUGCAAAUGGUGCAGCUGGAGCAAGAACUAGAGCCUCUGCUACUAUCCUUUACUUUCUGGUGUUAUGAGGGAUUUGGGGUUGUGCUCUGGUGGUUUAUUCAGCUUUCGCUGUAGGCGUCUAGAGGGAUCAGACUUCAUUAGUAAGUUCUGCUGGGCUUCAUGCUCUGUAUAAACCAAGGCAUCUACCGAUGACCUAUGGGCAUUUUGACCAGAGCCUCUGUGGUGGAGUGUUUAAUGUCUCUGCCACUUUUUCUAAAUAUCAGGAUAUGUAAAAGCUUCUCUGUGGUUAAGUUUUUUGGAGAUAUAUAUGAUAGUAGUUUAUGGAUUUAAAAAACCCCAAAAUAAGUAUUCAGAGCCAGUGACUAAAAAUUCCAUCUUGAAGAGUUUCAGAAGUGAGUCAAUAGUCCUUUUAGUCUAGAUAGUCUAGGACUAAGAGGACUAAAAAUGACUAAAAGGAUUCCUGAGUAUGUGACCUAAAGCAAUACAGAAUAUUUUGUGAGUCUCAAAUGAAGUCAAUAUAAGCCUAGAAACUGGAUGAGAGCAUGAAUUAGGUAAUGAAUUGCUUCUCUUUGAUGAUCCUUUUGUUUCCUGUAACGCCUAAAAUAUAUUCCUUUGCUGUGCAAGUUACUGCUUAUUGCAUGACUAUUAAAGAUGAACUUUUUUUCCCAUUUGGAAAAAUUCCUUUCUAGGCCCCGUCUUUGUGAAGGACUACAAAAUGACGUGCGCAUUUCCACUUACCGGUUUCCCAAAUGUGUCUGGGCCAUUGCUGAAAGGAGAGGAGAGACAUUUUCUAUUAAAAUAGAUCUGCAGCAAGCUAAAUCUGCUGCUGUGUUUCCCCUCUGUGAUGGAUGCGCUUGACUCCUUGAUGAAACUUGUGGUAGUUUGGUUCAGCCUCCAGAGGAAGCAAAGGCCUCGGCCAUAACUGGGCCCAGAACUUCUCUAGUUCCAACCUGUUCUCUGAAACCCCCCACAGGAACAGGGUGACAUGGUGAGCAUCAAUGCAUAUGGGCAUGGCAACUCAAACACUGACCAUGCAAUUAACACAUGAAUAGCAGGUGGUUCUUCCAAGACUCAUUUAUCGAGGAACAAAGCAAGCUGUGGGUACAAGGAGUCUCAUGCUUACCUUUUCCAGCACAUGUAAUUUGACUACGCGCCAACCGCUUUAUUCCAUAAAAAUGACAGCCUGAGUGAGCUGCCUUUGAGGUCUCCCUG